GGCCUAACCUUAGGGAAGGAUGCUCCGNGGUGUGGUUAGCGANGGGGUGAAGUCGUAACAAGGUAUCCGUACGGGAACGUGCGGAUGGAUCACCUCCUU
RNAcentral lists this ribosomal RNA (99 nucleotides) under Fusobacterium necrophorum subsp. necrophorum. Its description in RNAcentral is "partial 16S ribosomal RNA". It matches the Rfam family "Bacterial small subunit ribosomal RNA", at positions 1432 to 1532 of the family's 1533-position model. Lineage: Bacteria; Fusobacteriati; Fusobacteriota; Fusobacteriia; Fusobacteriales; Fusobacteriaceae. The record is from RNAcentral.